This is a long non-coding RNA of Chiroxiphia lanceolata (lance-tailed manakin), 681 nucleotides long. RefSeq lists it as uncharacterized. The record is from RefSeq and is a predicted model, not a curated record. The transcript has 4 exons. Lineage: Eukaryota; Metazoa; Chordata; Aves; Passeriformes; Pipridae.
UCGCGUUGCUAUGGCAACACAACCCACUUCCCCUGGGACCGCGUUGCCUCGGCGACAUCAGGCGGGCAACGCCGGCGGAUUAAAUCGACUCAGAGCAACUGCCCCCUGAAAAACAGGACAACCCUGGCCUCGGGGAACAUGGGAGCCCAGAGGUUCAUCUCACCAGAGCCUGGGAAUGUAGAACAGCCAUGUGACUAACGUGAUUAUCAGCUCUGUCAGAAAGAAAAAUUAGACACGAAAAUCAAGAUGAGCAUCUUCCAUGGACACCUCACUUCAAGAUCUUACCAUUAUUCCAAGCAAAGCUUUAGCAGCUCUUCCCAGGUCCCAGGGAGGUUAGGAGCUCAGCAGGAUGACUUUGACAGAGCAGCUGAAAUGGGCAGCUUUAAGCAUCAGUGUCUGGAAUUGCAAGAAAGAAGAGGCACAUCUGUCCUCCCAAGAAGUGUCAGUAUUUCUGAAACAUCGCUUGGACAUGCUACUUCCUAGACGGACUCUUCCAUCAUUGCCCUCCAUUCCCUGGAGCACCACACUGAGUGUGGCCAUGACAUGCUGGCAUGGAACUCACCAGUCUGGAAACGGGAUUUCAGCACGUCUGGUGGAAUGGCAACUGCCCAGUUGAAGAUGCCAGCCAGGCCCCCAGCAAAGAGGAUCCUCGGCACACUGAGGUCACUCACACUGCAGCAU